AUAGAUGAUGUGGAAUCCGGGAACAGAUUGGUGAAGAUACGCGCGAACUCUGAAU
This is a non-coding RNA of Acidianus hospitalis W1, 55 nucleotides long. The record is from Rfam. NCBI's taxonomy places the organism in Archaea, Thermoproteati, Thermoproteota, Thermoprotei, Sulfolobales, Sulfolobaceae.